UAGUCCACGCCGUAAACGAUGGAUACUUGGUGUUGGAGGUAUUGACCCCUUCAGUGCCGAAGCUAACGCGUUAAGUAUCCCGCCUGGGGAGUACGGUCGCAAGAUUAAAACUCAAAGAAAUUGACGGGGGCCCGCACAAGCGGUGGAGCAUGUGGUUUAAUUCGAUGCAACGCGCAGAACCUUACCUGGCCUUGACAUGUACCGGAAGGCUACCAGAGAUGGUGUCGUCCUUCGGGACUGGUACACAGGUGCUGCAUGGCUGUCGUCAGCUCGUGUCGUGAGAUGUUGGGUUAAGUCCCGCAACGAGCGCAACCCUUGCCUUUAGUUGCCAGCAUUUAGUUGGGCACUCUAGAGGGACUGCCGACGUUAAGUCGGAGGAAGGUGGGGAUGACGUCAAGUCCUCAUGGCCCUUAUGGGCCAGGGGCUACACACGUGCUACAAUGGCUACUACAAAGGGUUGCUAAGCAGCAAUGCCAAGCUAAUCCCAGAAAA
Molecule: ribosomal RNA, 492 nt
Filed under: uncultured bacterium
Lineage: Bacteria
Description: bacterial SSU rRNA
Rfam family: Bacterial small subunit ribosomal RNA
Source: RNAcentral